GAGAUUGGCGCUUGGGCUACCCGCCCGGCGUAAUGCCAACAUCCAUAUACACCUGUGAACCUGUGGCUCCCCCCUUCUUUGGGGGAGGACCGCAAAUCUUUACAACUCUGUGUAAUGAACGUGAUGUAUCAUAACAAAAUCA
RNAcentral lists this unclassified non-coding RNA (142 nucleotides) under uncultured fungus. Its description in RNAcentral is "sequence contains ITS1, 5.8S rRNA gene". Lineage: Eukaryota; Fungi. The record is from RNAcentral.